RNAcentral lists this ribosomal RNA (487 nucleotides) under uncultured bacterium. Its description in RNAcentral is "partial 16S ribosomal RNA". It matches the Rfam family "Bacterial small subunit ribosomal RNA", at positions 28 to 507 of the family's 1533-position model. The record is from RNAcentral.
GAUGAACGCUAGCGAUAGGCUUAACACAUGCGAGUCGAGGGGCAGCACAAGGUAGCUUGCUAUCUGGGUGGCGACCGGCGCACGGGUGCGUAACGCGUAUGCAACUUGCCCUAUACAGGAGGAUAACCCGUCGAAAGACGGACUAAUACUGCGUAUGCUCACAACUUGGCAUCAAGUGGUGAGGAAAGAAAUUCGGUAUAGGAUAGGCAUGCGUCCCAUUAGCUUGUUGGUGAGGUAACGGCUCACCAAGGCAACGAUGGGCAGGGGAACUGAGAGGUUUAUCCCCCACACUGGUACUGAGACACGGACCAGACUCCUACGGGAGGCAGCAGUGAGGAAUAUUGGUCAAUGGGCGCGAGCCUGAACCAGCCAAGUCGCGUGAAGGAUGACUGUCUUAUGGAUUGUAAACUUCUUUUAUACGGGAAUAACAAGAGUCACGUGUGACUCCCUGCAUGUACCGUAUGAAUAAGCAUCGGCUAACUCCGUG